RNAcentral lists this ribosomal RNA (253 nucleotides) under uncultured bacterium. RNAcentral's name for it is "partial 16S ribosomal RNA". It matches the Rfam family "Bacterial small subunit ribosomal RNA", at positions 524 to 776 of the family's 1533-position model. The record is from RNAcentral.
UACGUAGGGUGCGAGCGUUGUCCGGAAUUAUUGGGCGUAAAGGGCUCGUAGGCGGUCUGUUGCGUCGGGAGUGAAAACUCAGGGCUUAACCCUGAGCCUGCUUCCGAUACGGGCACACUAGAGGUAUGCAGGGGAGAACGGAAUUCCUGGUGUAGCGGUGAAAUGCGCAGAUAUCAGGAGGAACACCGGUGGCGAAGGCGGUUCUCUGGGCAUUACCUGACGCUGAGGAGCGAAAGUGUGGGGAGCGAACAGG